CCUUAAUCUCCUGUAGGAUACAUCACUGCUGGUGUCCUUAAUCUCCUGUAGGAUACAUCACUGCUGGUGUCCUUAAUCUCCUGUAGGAUACACCACUGCUGGUGUCCUUAAUCUCCUGUAGGAUACAUCACUGCUGGUGUCCUUAAUCUCCUGUAGGAUACAUCACUGCUGGUGUCCUUAAUCUCCUGUAGGAUACAUCACUGCUGUUGUCCUUAAUCUCCUGUACCGUAAAUUCCGGACAAAAGCCGCAACUUUUUUCCCAGGCUUUGAACCUCGCGGCUUAAACAAUGACGCGGCUAAUAUAUGGAUUUUUCCUGCUUUCAAAAAAAAAAUUCUCCAAAAAACACAUUCUGUGACGUGCUCAGUUUUUUGGUGGCAUGAAGCUUUCAUUAGACCAAUGAUAUUGCCGAACGGGUUACGGUCAAACAACUUUUUUGUUUACUGUUUAGAUUAAAUCGAGCGCUGUCAAAUUUCCCAUCAUUCUGAUUAUGGUAGUCAUUUUGUCACCCUCAUCAUGGCAAAGACACGGAGAAAUGCAUAUGAUGCAGCUUUCAAGUUGAAGGCGAUUGAUCUGGCUGUUGGAAAAGGAAAUAGAGCUGCUGCACGGGAGCUUGGUCUUAAUGAGUCGAUGAUAAGACGUUGGAAACAGCAGCGUGAGGAAUUGACUCACGCCUACUAAAGCUUACUGCUCAUUUUUUAUUUUUUUGUUACAAGCCAUGUUUCGUUAAAGCCUAUUUAUUUUUUGUUACAAGCCGUGCUUCGUUAAAGCCUAUUUAUUUUUGUUACAAGCCGUGUUUCGUUAAAGCCUAUUUAUUUUUGUUACAAGCCGUGUUUCGUUAAAGCCUGUGUAAAGUUAAUUUGUUUCAAUGUACCGGUAGGCACCUGCGGCUUAUAGACAUGUGCGGCUUAUUUAUGUUCAAAAUAAUAUUUAUUUUUAAAUUCAGUGGGUGCGGCUUAUAUUCAGGUGCGCUUAAUAGUCCGGAAAUUACGGUAGUCUACACCACUGCUGUGGUCCUUAAUCUCCUAUAGGAUACACUACUGCUAUUGUCCUUAAUCUCAUGUAGUCUACACCAGCGCUCCCUCCCACCCUCUCCCUGUCUCUCACUCUCCAUCCUGUCUCUCCCUCUCCCCCUCUCUCUCUCCACCCUCUCUCUCUACCCUGUCUCUCCCUCUCCUCCCCCUCUCCCCCUCCAAACCCUCUCUCUCUCAAUCCACCCUCUCUCAACCCUGUCUCUACCUCUCCUCCCCUCUCUCACUCUCCACCCUGUCUCUCCACCCUGUCGCUCCCUCUCCACCCUGUCGCUCCCUCUCCACCCUGUCUCUCCCUCUCCACCCUGUCGCUCCCUCUCCACCCUGUCUCUCCCUCUCCACCGUCUCUCCCUCUCCACCCUCUCUCUCUCAAUCCACCCUCUCUCAACCCUGUCUCUACCUCUCCUCCCCUCUCUCACUCUCCACCCUGUCUCUCCCUCUUCACCCUCUCUCUCCACCCUGUCCCUCCCUCUCCACCGUCUCUCUGCACCCUCUCUCCCUCUACUCCCCCUCUCUUCCACUCCACUCUCUCUUCCUCUCCACCCUGUAUCGCCCGCUCCGCCCUCUCUCGUCACCCUCUCUCCCUCUCCACCCUUUCUCUCCCUCUCCACCCUUUCUCUCCCUCUCCACCCUCUCUCUCCACCCUGUAACUCCCUCUCCACCCUGUCUCUCCCUCUACUCCCUCUCUCGACCCUGUCUCUCCCUCUCCACCCUCCCUCUCCACCCUGUAACUCCCUCUGCACCUGAAACUCCCUCUGCACCCUGUCUCUCCCUCUUCACCCUGUCUCAUCACCCUGUCCCUCCCUCUCCUCCUACUCUCUCGCUCUCCACCCUCUCUCUCCACCCUGUCUCUCCCUCUCCUACUCUCUCGCUCUCCACCCUCUCUCUCCACCCUCUCUCUCCACCCUGUCUCUCCCUCUCCACCCUGUCUCUCCCUCUCCACCCUGUCUCUCCCUUGCCACACCCCUCUCUCUCUCCAUGCUGUCUUUCCCUCUCCUCCUUCUCUCUAGCCUGUCUCUACCCCUCCUCCCUCGCUCUCUCUCCACCAUGGAAACAUUUUCCAAGGAAAAUGAACGGUCAGACUUUAUAGAGAAAUGUCUCCCAUUGAGUUCCCUCGGCGCACACCCCCCAGGUAGUCUGAGACUCCACACACCUCAGGUAGUCUGAGACUCCACACACCCCCCAGGUAGUCUGAGACUCCACACCCCCCCCCAGGUAGUCUGAGACUCCACAC
This 2263-nucleotide long non-coding RNA is filed under the name Salmo salar (Atlantic salmon). RNAcentral's name for it is "lncRNA (ENSSSAG00000121516.1)". The record is from RNAcentral. Lineage: Eukaryota; Metazoa; Chordata; Actinopteri; Salmoniformes; Salmonidae.